RNAcentral lists this unclassified non-coding RNA (348 nucleotides) under soil metagenome. RNAcentral's name for it is "partial contains 5.8S ribosomal RNA, internal transcribed spacer 2, and large subunit ribosomal RNA". The stretch from base 1 to 120 matches the Rfam family "5.8S ribosomal RNA", at positions 35 to 154 of the family's 154-position model. The record is from RNAcentral.
GAUGAAGAACGCAGCGAAAUGCGAUAAGUAAUGUGAAUUGCAGAAUUCAGUGAAUCAUCGAAUCUUUGAACGCACAUUGCGCCCGCCAGUAUUCUGGCGGGCAUGCCUGUCUCAGCGUCAUUUCAACCCUCAUGCCCCUAGGGCGUGGUGUUGGGGAUCGGCCAAAGCCCGCGAGGGACGGCCGGCCCCUAAAUCUAGUGGCGGACCCGUCGUGGCCUCCUCUGCGAAGUAGUGAUAUUCCGCAUCGGAGAGCGAUGAGCCCCUGCCGUUAAACCCCCAACUUUCCAAGGUUGACCUCAGAUCAGGUAGGAAUACCCGCUGAACUUAAGCAUAUCAAUAAGCGGAGGA